Molecule: ribosomal RNA, 406 nt
Filed under: uncultured bacterium
Lineage: Bacteria
Description: partial 16S ribosomal RNA
Rfam family: Bacterial small subunit ribosomal RNA
Source: RNAcentral
AUUGAACGCUGGCGGCAGGCCUAACACAUGCAAGUCGAACGAGUGGCGGACGGGUGAGUACUGUCUGGGAAACUGCCUGAUGGAGGGGGAUAACUACUGGAAACGGUAGCUAAUACCGCAUACCAUCGGAUGUGCCCAGAUGGGAUUAGCUUGUUGGUGGGGUAACGGCUAACCAAGGCGACGGUCCCUAGCUGGGCUGAGAGGAUGACAAGCCAAACUGGAACUGAGACACGGUCCAGACGCCUACGGGAGGCAGCAGUGGGGAAUAGUGCACAAUGGGCGCAAGCCUGAUGCAGCAAUGCCGCGGGUAUGAAGAAGGCCGUCGGGUGGUAAAGUACUUUCAGCGAGGAGGCGUUACUCGCAGAAGAAGCACCGGCUAACUCCGUGCCAGCAGCCGCGGUAAUAC